This 247-nucleotide ribosomal RNA is filed under the name uncultured bacterium. Its description in RNAcentral is "partial 16S ribosomal RNA". It matches the Rfam family "Bacterial small subunit ribosomal RNA", at positions 86 to 334 of the family's 1533-position model. The record is from RNAcentral.
AGAUGGCGACCGGCGCACGGGUGAGUAACACGUAUCCAACCUGCCGAUAACUCGGGGAUAGCCUUUCGAAAGAAAGAUUAGUACCCGAUGGUAUAAUCAGACCGCAUGGUCUUGUUAUUAAAGAAUUUCGGUUAUCGAUGGGGAUGCGUUCCAUUAGGCAGUUGGUGAGGUAACGGCUCACCAAACCUUCGAUGGAUAGGGGUUCUGAGAGGAAGGUCCCCCACAUUGGAACUGAGACACGGUCCAA